Caenorhabditis elegans is the source of this 144-nucleotide small nucleolar RNA. Lineage: Eukaryota; Metazoa; Nematoda; Chromadorea; Rhabditida; Rhabditidae. The record is from Ensembl.
GAGUCUCACAAGAAAGAUCAAUAUCUUUGGCAAUGGUUGAGUACACGAAAAGAACGCUUUGAUCAGACAGUUAUACACAAAGUUAGGUGAUCUGAUCAGUGUGCACUUGUACUCACAACUUCUCGAGACUCUAUUAUAGAUGAA